AUCGUUCAUCUUUUCCUCAAUUACUUUAGGAAGGACGGAAGUAAGGAAACAGCAAGCUCCUGAAGGAACGCGCC
Molecule: non-coding RNA, 74 nt
Filed under: Xenococcus sp. (in: cyanobacteria)
Lineage: Bacteria; Bacillati; Cyanobacteriota; Cyanophyceae; Pleurocapsales; Xenococcaceae
Also listed under: 1 other name
Description: Xenococcus sp. Glutamine-I sequence
Rfam family: Glutamine riboswitch aptamer (glnA leader)
Source: RNAcentral